This 629-nucleotide ribosomal RNA is filed under the name Modestobacter muralis. RNAcentral's name for it is "bacterial SSU rRNA". It matches the Rfam family "Bacterial small subunit ribosomal RNA", at positions 916 to 1533 of the family's 1533-position model. The record is from RNAcentral. Lineage: Bacteria; Bacillati; Actinomycetota; Actinomycetes; Geodermatophilales; Geodermatophilaceae.
GGGGCCCGCACAAGCGGCGGAGCAUGUUGCUUAAUUCGAUGCAACGCGAAGAACCUUACCUAGGCUUGACAUGCACGGAAAUCUCGCAGAGAUGCGGGGUCCUUUAAAGGGUCGUGCACAGGUGGUGCAUGGUUGUCGUCAGCUCGUGUCGUGAGAUGUUGGGUUAAGUCCCGCAACGAGCGCAACCCUCGUUCUAUGUUGCCAGCACGUCAUGGUGGGGACUCAUAGGAGACUGCCGGGGUCAACUCGGAGGAAGGUGGGGAUGACGUCAAAUCAUCAUGCCCCUUAUGUCUAGGGCUGCAAACAUGCUACAAUGGCCGGUACAAAGGGCUGCGAUACCGCGAGGUGGAGCGAAUCCCAAAAAGCCGGUCUCAGUUCGGAUUGGGGUCUGCAACUCGACCCCAUGAAGUUGGAGUCGCUAGUAAUCGCAGAUCAGCAACGCUGCGGUGAAUACGUUCCCGGGCCUUGUACACACCGCCCGUCACGUCACGAAAGUCGGUAACGCCCGAAGCCGGUGGCCCAACCCCUUGUGGGAGGGAGCCGUCGAAGGCGGGAUCGGCGAUUGGGACGAAGUCGUAACAAGGUAGCCGUACCGGAAGGUGCGGCUGGAUCACCUCCUUUCUAAGGAG